CACGUAGGCGGACAUUUAAGUCAGGGGUGAAAUCCCGGGGCUCAACCCCGGAACUGCCUUUGAUACUGGGUGUCUGGAGUCCGGAAGAGGUGAGUGGAAUUCCGAGUGUAGAGGUGAAAUUCGUAGAUAUUCGGAGGAACACCAGUGGCGAAGGCGGCUCACUGGUCCGGUACUGACGCUGAGGUGCGAAAGCGUGGGGAGCAAAACA
RNAcentral lists this ribosomal RNA (208 nucleotides) under uncultured bacterium. Its description in RNAcentral is "partial 16S ribosomal RNA". It matches the Rfam family "Bacterial small subunit ribosomal RNA", at positions 568 to 775 of the family's 1533-position model. The record is from RNAcentral.